AUGUCGUCCGACGGCGGGGGCUCCCAGAUGGGCGUCGCCGGCGCGCUGGGCCUCUCGGUCACGUCGUCAGUAGCCAUUGUUAUUUGCAACAAGUACCUCAUGAGCACCCUUGAGUUCUACUUCGCGACGACACUGACGAGCUGGCACUUGCUGGUGACCUUCUGCACGCUUCACAUAGCGCAGCGCCUGCGCUUCUUCGAGCCGAAGCCAAUCGACGCGCAGACUGUCAUCUCCUUUGGGUUUCUCAAUGGAAUCUCCAUUGGCCUCCUCAACCUUUGCCUUGGCUUCAACUCAGUUGGCUUCUACCAGAUGACCAAGCUGGCUAUUAUACCCUUCACCAUGCUCUUGGAGACCAUCUUUUUGAGCAAGAAGUUCAGCCAGAGCAUCAAGGCCUCUCUCAUGGUCCUCCUCCUGGGAGUUGGCAUCGCAUCGGUCACUGAUCUCCAGCUCAAUCUCCUCGGCUCAAUCAUCGCAGUGCUCACCAUCGCUGCGACCUGUGUCUGCCAGAUCCUGACCAACCAAAUCCAGAGGAGGCUCAAGGUGUCUUCCACUCAGCUACUGUACCAGUCCUCCCUGUACCAAUCCGCUGUGCUGCUCAUCACCGGCCCCUUCGUCGACAAGCUCCUGACAAAGAAGGACGUCUUCGCGUUCGAGUACACAUUCGAAGUCGUGGUGUUCAUCCUGAUGUCGUGCGGGAUCGCGGUGAGCGUCAACUUCAGCACCUUCCUGGUGAUCGGCACGACGUCGCCAGUGACGUACCAGGUGUUGGGCCACCUCAAGACGUGCCUCAUCCUCUCCUUCGGCUACGUUCUCCUCAAAGACCCCUUCACGCUCCGCAACCUCGCCGGCAUCCUCAUCGCCAUCUUCGGCAUGGGCCUCUACUCCUUCUUCUCCGUCUCCGAGAGCAGGAAGAAGACCGAGGGCGCCACGUUGCCCGUCAACACCCAGAUGAGCGAGAAGGAUUCGGCACCGCUCCUUGGCACGAAAACCUCGCCGUGGCAGGAGAGCAACGGGGUGGAGAACUUUGACGACGUGCCACGGACGGCGAAGAGCGCGUUUAGCCGGCAGCUGAACCCGUAG
RNAcentral lists this ribosomal RNA (1080 nucleotides) under Triticum aestivum (bread wheat). RNAcentral's name for it is "partial small subunit ribosomal RNA". Lineage: Eukaryota; Viridiplantae; Streptophyta; Magnoliopsida; Poales; Poaceae. The record is from RNAcentral.